GAUGAACGCUAGCUACAGGCUUUAACACAUGCAAGUCGAACGAAGCACUUUGGACAGAUUCCUCGGAUGAAGUCCUUAGUGACUGAGUGGCGGACGGGUGAGUAACGCGUGGGUAACCUGCCUCAUACAGGGGAUAACAGUUAGAAAUGGCUGCUAAUACCGCAUAAGCGCACGGUACUGCAUGGUACAGUGUGAAAAACUCCGGUGGUAUGAGAUGGACCCGCGUUGAUAG
This 232-nucleotide ribosomal RNA is filed under the name uncultured bacterium. Its description in RNAcentral is "partial 16S ribosomal RNA". It matches the Rfam family "Bacterial small subunit ribosomal RNA", at positions 28 to 244 of the family's 1533-position model. The record is from RNAcentral.